ACAGCUGCUGCCUUUACUGCUUCAGGAAUUUGCGUCAACAUUGCUUUAGGGCAUGCGUGGUCAUUCUUCACUCCGUUGUUGUUGUUUACAACAACAUAUAUGGGGAUUGUAUAUGUUUAUAUAGUAUAUGGGGAUUGUAGUGUUUAUCUCACUCCUUGGAUGAUUUCUGGAGACACAGGGUUUUGCUAUGUUGCCCAGGCUGGCUUUGAACUCCUGGGAUCAAGUGACCCUCCUGCCUCAGCCUCUGAAGUAGAUGGGACUACAGGUCCACGCCACCAUGCCGAGCUGGACAUGUAA
This 297-nucleotide long non-coding RNA is filed under the name Homo sapiens (human). RNAcentral's name for it is "non-protein coding lnc-MRPL1-2:1". Lineage: Eukaryota; Metazoa; Chordata; Mammalia; Primates; Hominidae. The record is from RNAcentral.